CAGCUCCGUCGCGCGGGGAGCGGAGAAGGCAGAGGCGCGGGGCGCCAAGAUGAGUGUUCCGGAUGCAAGAGAAACCAAAAUGGUGUGGCCGUUUACCAAAACCUGCUAAAGCUGACUUCCCUGACAUCUCUGGACCCUUGUGCCGUCCGGGGCAGAAAGGGUGUGGGAUGACAGGCAGGUUAACAGAAAAACCUUGAAGAGGGGACUGGAGGAUUUAGUCGCUCUUUGCUCCCCUCCUGGCAGCCCAGGGUCCUCC
Molecule: long non-coding RNA, 256 nt
Filed under: Castor canadensis (American beaver)
Lineage: Eukaryota; Metazoa; Chordata; Mammalia; Rodentia; Castoridae
Description: lncRNA (ENSCCNG00000008266.1)
Source: RNAcentral